This is a long non-coding RNA of Takifugu rubripes (torafugu), 3743 nucleotides long. NCBI's taxonomy places the organism in Eukaryota, Metazoa, Chordata, Actinopteri, Tetraodontiformes, Tetraodontidae. The record is from Ensembl.
GUAGAUAUUUUCUUUGUACAUUAUUAGUGCUGUUUUGAAUUUGACAGUAUAGAUAUUUCAUAAACAGCAGGUUUGUGUGCUCUCUGCAUUCGGCCUUGUUAAUUAUUCCGAUUGCUCUUUGUUGUAGAGCGCUUUUACAGCUGGUUCCCCAGACCACCUCACAGUCUGACUGAUAUGGUCAACACUGAAUCAUAUAAGACGUGUCAUGAUUUAAAUGCAAUCAAUGUGAAAACAAUCCAGUUUUUCUUUGUUGCAAAGCUGCUGCAGAAACAACCUUACUUUUUGGAAAAUUCAUUGGCGUCAGUGUGAAAGUUUAGUCUUGUGGAACUGAAGCAAAGAAGUAAAUGAAUUCAAUUGAAUUGACAGUUGCAUUGUGGGUAAUGCUGUCACCUGGUUUAAAUAUGUAGAAUGGGACGGAUAAUUGUUUGCUUAAUUGUUUAGGAGAGAAAACUUCCUGUCCUGCUGACUCCAGACAGCCCAAUUGUCCACCGGUGGUGAAUAUCACCAGACCGGGACGUCGCACCAAUCAGCUCGGUUAUCUGGAGGGGCUGGCGACGGAGUUGUGGAACCAUCAGCUGUCCAGGCAGUUCCACUUCCUACUAAAACCAGCGAUACUCCCCGUAAGUGACACAAAUAUUUAGAAUAAUAAAGCACUUUUAAAAAUAUUUUACUGAAGUCAGUAUUUGCAGAUAUUGUAGCUGUAGUCAGAUGCUUGCUAACUAAGUCCUUCUUGUCUUGCAGAGCUACUACAAAGUUAUUACGACUCCCAUGGACCUCAGCACAAUCAGGGAGAGGCUAAAGAACCACUACUACCAACAUGGUGUGGAGUGUGUUCAGGACUUUUUAUGGGUCUUCAGUAACUGCUAUAGAUUCCAUCAGGUAACGGGACACUUGACAUUCAUCAGCACCUUUCCCAUCAAAAGAGGGUUUUUUAUUUUGCGUUACGUCUUCUCUCCACAGCCGCAAGCAGAUAUUGUGUCGAAGGCCAAGUCCCUGGAGGCCAUCUUCUUCAGAAUGCUGUCAAAGAUGCCGUUUCCAGAACGUGAAAUCAAGACAAAAGAAUCCACAGGACCUUCAAGAACCCCUCUGAAUGAGGCUCAAUUAUUAGCACCAGCAAAGAAAAUUCCACAGGGGGACCAAAUACCGAUUAGUAAGUGAAACCAAAGCCCACGCUGGCCUUUCCUGGUCUUUGUUGCUCCCAUAACAUUGAUUAAAAUUUUAUUUGUGUCAGGGAUCAGAGGCCGCCAGGCCGAUACAGUUUAUAGAAAACCUGCCGUGAAAAAGGCUCCAUCUGCUGAAACGGUAAUUAUCUUUGGCUUAUCUUUGGCUUUGGCUAUAUAUAUAGAUAUAUAUAUCUAUAUAUAUAUGCAUAAUCAGCCUCUUGAAUACCUGUACAUAGUACAGAGGGUGUAUACAAUAUACAAUCAAUCAAUCAAUUUUUAUUUAUAUAGCAUCUUUUACAAUCAAAAUUGUUUCUAGGCGCUUUAAAGAAUCCCAGGGCCUAACCCCAAACAAUCAAAGGUGGCAAGGAAAAACUCCCCUUUAACAGGAAGAAACCUUGAGCAGGACCAUACAUAUCAGAAUAUAUAAUAUUCAGUGUGUGCUAUAGCAGGCAUUAUGAUUGUUGUACAGUCUGACAGCAGCCGGCAGGAAAGAUCUGCGAUACCGCUCCUUCACACAGCGAGGGUGGAGCAGCCGCUCACUGAAGGAGCUGCCCAGUGCUGUCAGGGUGUCCUGUAUCAAUUUCUGAAGUAGUAUUUUCUUUUGUUUUGUUUUCCAGCCAAUUUUCGGGAAGAAUCCGAAGGCCUGGGAGACACUCAAGGUUCUCCCAUCUGAGAAAAAGCCAAUUCCCAAACGUAAAUAUUCCUAAAUAUCACCAAUAUCAACAUUGUAUUAACCAGCUUAUGAGAAAUACGGGUUAUUGACUGAUUUUAAUUUAAUGGGCAGUAGAAACAUCCUUCCCGCUGCAAAAAGCUGAAGAACAGGGCAGACAGGCAGAUGUGAGUACCACCUCUAUGCAACCGUGAUCUCUUUGUCUUUGCGGAGGAAAGGUCAUUUAACAUUUAACAGUGUCCAGAAUAUGAAAUAAAAACUCCAAAACAAUCCACAAAAGGACUGUCAAGAAACCCUCUGAAUGAGGUGACGUCUCUUCCUUGACGUCAUUAAGCGUCUUUAUCCUCAAUAUCGUAUUUGUGGAUUUCUUUGACUCCAUUUUUAGUGUUCUUACUAACAGAUUAAACUGGUUCAUUCUUGGCAACUUUUUUUCCAAUUUACACCCAAACUGAAAGUCUGACCCCCUCCAUAGGACAAAAGGCCUGGAAAGAGGAAAGCCCACAGCUCCUCUGGUCCCACGCUGCAAAACCCCAGAACAAACACCAGCUCUUCCUGCAGUGAACCUCCUGCUAAAGUUAAAAAGAGCAUCCCCCACCAGAACGGUGAGGCCCAACACAGAGCAUUGAACUCGUUCUGACACUAAGAGGGCCAAGAUCCCGAUGAUGAGAGACCAAAUGUAGAUAUUUAGCUGUUUUCUCUUUGACAGCUUUCCCCACUGCUGUGCAACGGACAGCCCAGAAACCUCCUGCUGCUGGAUGUCCAGUAAGGAUAAACCCACAUGUGAGAUGUUGACAAUGUCCUUUGUUUUAAUAUUGACAUCAAACCUGAUCUUCUACCAGCCUCAAUUAAACCCAGCAAAGAAACUUCCACAGGGAGACCAAGCACCACUUUGUAAGUGAAACUUAACCCACUCUGGCCUUUCCUGGUCUUUUUGGCUCCCUAAACUUUAAAAUUAAAAUUUUAUUUGUCAGGGAUCAGAGGCCACCAGGCCAACCCACUGAGCAGAAAUCCUGCAGUGAAAAAGCCUCCACCUGUUGCAAAGGUAAUUAUCUUUGGCUUUUUUCUGCAUGAAACACCUGAAAAUAUCAUUUACUGAAGUAGUAUUUUGUUUUGUUUUGUUUUACAGCCAAUUGUCGUGAAGCAUCCUGAGGCCUGGGAGAGACUCAAGACUCUCCCAACUGAGAAAAAGCCAAUUCCCAAACGUAAAUAUUCCUAAAUAUCACCAAUAUCAUCAUUGUACUAACCAUCUUAUGAGAAAUAUGAGUUAUUCACUCAAUUUUAAUCUAAAGAGCAAUAGAAAGAGAGCCAAGAUCCCGAUGAUGAGAGACCAAAUGUAGAUAUUUAGCUGUUUUCUCUUUGACAGCUCUCCCCACUGCUGUGCAAUGGACAGCCCAGAAACCUCCUGCUGCUGGAUGUCCAGUAAGGAUAAACCCACAUGUGAGAUGUUGAGAAUGUUCUUUGUUUUAAUAUUAACAUCAAUCCUGAUCUUCUACCAGCCUCAAAAAUCCACCCCACUUCAAGACAAGUCAGAGAGAAACAGACUUCGAAGAGAAGCUCAAGAAGAGCGGAGGAGACAGGCAGAUGUGAGUACCACCUCUAUGCAACAGUGAUCUCUUUGUCUUUGUGGAGGAAAUGUCAUUUAACAGCUCUUCUCCUUCAUCCUUUUUCUCACAGUUAAAUGGGUUUGACCUCAACCUGCAAGCCAGAGUCAUGGAGGAAUUUGAGAGGACUUAUUUUUCAGGCGAAACACCCUUUUACUGUGAUCUACUGUAUUGAUGUAUUGUAUUUAAUUUGGUUACCAAAGAUUAAAAUGUUCAAUAGUAAUAGUGUUGGCUGAUUUUUAUUUGAGCAGGUGCUCACCCUGCAUUUUUUUUUUCUUUAGCGUUCCGGACAGAUUGUAAAAGUGUCUU